AGCAGCCGCGGUAAUUCCAGCUCCAAUAGCGUAUAUUAAAGUUGUUGCAGUUAAAAAGCUCGUAGUUGAAUUUCGGGAUUGGCGUAUCGGUCGUGCCUCACGGGGUAUGAACUGGUGCAGUCAAUUUCUCACCUUCUGGAGAACCGCGAUGUCCUUAAUUGGAUGCCGCGGGGAACCAGGACCUUUACUUUGAAAAAUUAGAGUGUUUAAAGCAGGCAUUUUUGCUUGAAUACAUUAGCAUGGAAUAAUAAAAUAGGACGGCAUGGUUCUAUUUUGUUGGUUUCUAGGACCACCGUAAUGAUUAAUAGGGAUAGUUGGGGGCAUUAGUAUUCAAUUGUCAGAGGUGAAAUUCUUGGAUUUAUUGAAGACUAACUACUGCGAAAGCAUUUGCCAAGGAUGUUUUCAUUAAUCAAGAACGAAAGUUAGGGGAUCGAAGACGAUCAGAUACCGUCGUAGUCUUAACCAUAAACUAUGCCGACUAGGAAUCAGACGAUGUUAAUUUUUAAUGACUCGUUUGGCA
Molecule: unclassified non-coding RNA, 520 nt
Filed under: uncultured Entrophospora
Lineage: Eukaryota; Fungi; Glomeromycota; Glomeromycetes; Entrophosporales; Entrophosporaceae
Description: SSU rRNA
Rfam family: Eukaryotic small subunit ribosomal RNA
Source: RNAcentral